RNAcentral lists this transfer RNA (75 nucleotides) under Candidatus Woesearchaeota archaeon. RNAcentral describes it as "tRNA-Glu". It matches the Rfam family "tRNA". From Rfam's summary of the family: Transfer RNA (tRNA) molecules are approximately 80 nucleotides in length. Lineage: Archaea; Nanobdellati; Candidatus Woesearchaeota. The record is from RNAcentral.
GCUCCCGUGGUGUAGUCCGGCCAAUCAUGCGAGGCUUUCGACCUUGCGACCCGGGUUCAAAUCCCGGCGGGAGCA